CCCUUAGAUGUUCUGGGCCGCGCGCGCGCUACAAUGAUGAAUUCAACGAGUUUAUAACCUUGGUUGAAAAGCCUGGGUAAUCUUUUGAACUUUCGUCGUGAUGGGGCUAGACCCUUGCAAUUAUUGGUCUCCAACGAGGAAUUCCUAGUAAACGCAAGUCAUCAGCUUGCAUUGAUUACGUCCCUGCCCUUUGUACACACCGCCCGUCGCACCUACCGAUUGAAUGGUCCGGUGAAAUCUUCGGAUUGAGACUUUGAUUUCUUCACGGAAAACGCUGUUUUAAGAAGUUGAUUAAACCUUACCAUUUAGAGGAAGGUGAAGUCGUAACA
RNAcentral lists this ribosomal RNA (329 nucleotides) under uncultured eukaryote. Its description in RNAcentral is "partial 18S ribosomal RNA". It matches the Rfam family "Eukaryotic small subunit ribosomal RNA", at positions 1470 to 1796 of the family's 1831-position model. The record is from RNAcentral.